Molecule: ribosomal RNA, 253 nt
Filed under: uncultured bacterium
Lineage: Bacteria
Description: partial 16S ribosomal RNA
Rfam family: Bacterial small subunit ribosomal RNA
Source: RNAcentral
UACGUAGGGUGCAAGCGUUAAUCGGAAUUACUGGGCGUAAAGCGUGCGCAGGCGGUGAUGUAAGACAGGUGUGAAAUCCCUCGGCUUAACCGGGGAACUGCGUCCGAUACUGGAUGGCUUGAGUUUGGGAGAGGGAUGCGGAAUUCCAGGUGUAGCGGUGAAAUGCGUAGAUAUCUGGAGGAACACCGGUGGCGAAGGCGGCAUCCUGGACCAACACUGACGCUGAUGAGCGAAAGCCAGGGGAGCAAACGGG